GGAAUCUUCGGCAAUGGACGAAAGUCUGACCGAGCAACGCCGCGUGAGUGAAGAAGGUUUUCGGGAUCGUAAAACUCUGUUGGUAGAGAAGAACGUUGGUGAGAGUGGAAAGCUCAUCAAGUGACGGUAACUACCCAGAAAGGGACGGCUAACUACGUGCCAG
RNAcentral lists this ribosomal RNA (163 nucleotides) under uncultured bacterium. RNAcentral's name for it is "partial 16S ribosomal RNA". It matches the Rfam family "Bacterial small subunit ribosomal RNA", at positions 358 to 511 of the family's 1533-position model. The record is from RNAcentral.